GCUCUGGUGGUGCAGUGGCUGAGCGUUCGACUGCUAACCAAAAGGUUGGUGGUUCAAACCCACCCAGCAGCU
This 72-nucleotide transfer RNA is filed under the name Loxodonta africana (African savanna elephant). It matches the Rfam family "tRNA". From Rfam's summary of the family: Transfer RNA (tRNA) molecules are approximately 80 nucleotides in length. Their secondary structure includes four short double-helical elements and three loops (D, anti-codon, and T loops). Further hydrogen bonds mediate the characteristic L-shaped molecular structure. tRNAs have two regions of fundamental functional importance: the anti-codon, which is responsible for specific mRNA codon recognition, and the 3' end, to which the tRNAs corresponding amino acid is attached (by aminoacyl-tRNA synthetases). tRNAs cope with the degeneracy of the genetic code in two manners: having more than one tRNA (with a specific anti-codon) for a particular amino acid; and 'wobble' base-pairing, i.e. permitting non-standard base-pairing at the 3rd anti-codon position. Lineage: Eukaryota; Metazoa; Chordata; Mammalia; Proboscidea; Elephantidae. The record is from Rfam by way of RNAcentral.